Non-coding RNA from Hordeum vulgare subsp. vulgare (domesticated barley), 125 nucleotides. The record is from Rfam. NCBI's taxonomy places the organism in Eukaryota, Viridiplantae, Streptophyta, Magnoliopsida, Poales, Poaceae.
UUUGUACUCCCUUUGUACAUAAUUACUUGUUGCAAAAAUGGAUAAAAAGGGAUGUAUCUAGAACCAAAAUACGUCUAGAAACAUCUAUUUUUCUGACAAGUAUUUUCAAACGAAGGGAGUAUAUG